Long non-coding RNA from Monodelphis domestica (gray short-tailed opossum), 1657 nucleotides. NCBI's taxonomy places the organism in Eukaryota, Metazoa, Chordata, Mammalia, Didelphimorphia, Didelphidae. The record is from Ensembl.
AGAAUUGCCUUUGACCAUUUGUCAACUGGGGAAUGCUUUGUAUUCUUAAAGAUCUGAGUCAGUUCUCUAGAGGUAUGAGAUAUGAAGCCUUUGUAAGAUAGAAACUUGCUACGAAGAUUUUUACUCCAGUUUUUUUUCUAUAAUCCUUUUAAGAUACAACUUCUUACUUUAGCUCUUAUUUUAAUUGGACACUUGUGAACUCAGUGAUUUGAGGGUCCCAAUAAAAGUUCAGAAAAAAAAUGUAUCAAAUGGACUUUUACAAGGCCAAGGUGGCAUAAGAUAAAUAACUCGUUUAUAAAAGUAAUUUUCUACUCCCUAUUACACCUUUAUUUAUAGACAGUCAAUUUGGUAACAAACAGUAUUGUCUCUUUUACAGAUGUGUUCAAACUAAUAAAAUCUAAGCUUUCUUGUCAUUCAUUCAUUCUAAAUGUUUAAAUUGAAUAUCAACCAAAAAAUUCUCUUUCCUCAAAUAAAUGAUAGUCUAAUAAUAUAUUUUAUUGUCCUAUUUUAAUUCCUAUUUUAUUUCAGUCAUGCCCACACAAUUCUACAUGACCCAAUUUGGGGUUUUCUUGGCAGAAAUAAUACAAUGGUUUGUGAUUUCCUUCUCCAGUUUAUUUUACAAACCAGGUGCCUGAGGAAGAAAAGGGCAAGUGACUUUUUCAGGAUUGCAAAACUACUUUGGAGGCUUCUCUUUGUCUGCACAUGGAAACAUGAUAAUUUUCUUGGUAUUUGAAUAUAGCAUGUAGGAUCUAGGGCAGGGAGACCAUUUGGAGCACUGAUUUCUUCUAAUGACCACCUCAAGAGCACUAACUUCCAUUUCUGUGUAUAGACCCCAAUUUCAAGUCCCGGAUGUGUAAUUUACAGCGUAACAGUGUAUGUGACCCUCAGCAAAAUACCUAAUUGUUUGUGCCUCUCUUUCCUCAUCCAUAAAAUGGAGAGGUUGGAAGAAUUGGUUUUGAAGAUUCUUUCAAACUCUUUAUCUCUGAUUCUAUGACUGUGAUCUUUGGUCAACAAGCUAACAAUAAGCAUUAGCCCUUUGUCAAACUGUGAUAAUUUCCUAGAAUCCAUAUUUCUUAUCCUGAAACAACUAGCCUGGGUUAUUUUAAUUUAUAUCCUCCUAUAGAGCUUCUCUACCUCAACAUCAAAAAUUCUAUGUAGUAGAUGGAAAAGGAAAUAAUCUGUUCAUAAGCUGAUAUAAUUAAGCCAAUUAUACUUUGGGGAAAAACCUCAUGUGAUGUCUCCACAUUUAACAAGGCUGAGCUCAAAUGGCAGGCACAAAGCUCAUUGGGGUAUGAAUAUUUGAAGCUUUUCUUUGUUAGAAUGUGUGCAGAACUCAUUCCCCAUUGACAUAGCAAUGAAGAAUUGUAGAUAAUCAUCAUAAUAAGGCAUUAGAGUUGAGUUUAAAUAGAGCCCCCCCCCCAAAAAAAAAACAGUGAAUAUAUGCCAGAAAUCAACUUUUUUUUUUUUACAUAGUAGAACCAAGAGUCAUGGUCUUAUGAAUAUUCAUUCCAGUGUUUUGGUAGGAAAAGUUGUUUUUUCUUUGAUGUUUCUGAAUCAAUUUUCUGUCACACCCCAUGGAAAGUCUCCUUUCUCAACCAAUAUUUUUGCAUGUAGGUAGAUUCUUCACUUUAAAUAAAUGUCAAUAGACUGACCUUCA